RNAcentral lists this ribosomal RNA (508 nucleotides) under uncultured bacterium. Its description in RNAcentral is "partial 16S ribosomal RNA". It matches the Rfam family "Bacterial small subunit ribosomal RNA", at positions 33 to 541 of the family's 1533-position model. The record is from RNAcentral.
GACGAACGCUGGCGGCGUGCUUAACACAUGCAAGUCGAACGGAAAGGCCCUGCUUUUGUGGGGUGCUCGAGUGGCGAACGGGUGAGUAACACGUGAGUAACCUGCCCUUGACUUUGGGAUAACUUCAGGAAACUGGGGCUAAUACCGGAUAGGAGCUCCUGCUGCAUGGUGGGGGUUGGAAAGUUUCGGCGGUUGGGGAUGGACUCGCGGCUUAUCAGCUUGUUGGUGGGGUAGUGGCUUACCAAGGCUUUGACGGGUAGCCGGCCUGAGAGGGUGACCGGGCAGCUGGGGAGGGGUCGCCGCCACAGACGCGGGUGGGAGGCGGGAGGGGGGAAGCUGGCACAAGGGGCGGACGCCUGCGGCAGCAGCUCCGCGUGGGUGAUGCGGGCACUGUGUGUGUAACCCUUGUUGUCCGGGGGGGCAGGGGGGUUGACGGUAGUGGGAAAAGAAGAACCGGUGAACUACGUGCCAGAAGCAGCGUUAACAAUCGACGAGUACACGCUUGAAC